CAUCACUCAGACCAUUCAGCAGUACUUGCGCAUAGGCUCAUGCAAUAGGAAAGAGCUUCAGUCACUGAUUGGCUCGCUAAAUUUUGCCAUCCGUAUUAUACCCCAAGGAAGAGCAUUCAUUUCCAGACUCCUGUGCCUUCUUCCGACACUAACUGACGAACACAAACGUACCACUCUUGAUAUGCAAGCCACAGCAGACUUACACAUGUGAAACGUGUUCCUGUCAAACUGGAAUGGCAGGAGCAUGUUCCUCCCCCAAGUCACAGAGUAUUCCCCUACCAUUUGGACUGAUGCAGCAGCCUCCACAGGUUUUGCAGCUAUUUUUGGGGACAACUGGCUAUGGGGUAGAUGGCUGGAAGAAGUUAAGCAAAU
Non-coding RNA from Pelobates cultripes (western spadefoot toad), 372 nucleotides. NCBI's taxonomy places the organism in Eukaryota, Metazoa, Chordata, Amphibia, Anura, Pelobatidae. The record is from the annotation of a GenBank genome assembly.